AUUUUAUUAGUAUAUUAAGUAUGAUUGUUUUCCAAACAAUUGGUUUAAAUUAGUUUAAAUGAAAUA
Molecule: transfer RNA, 66 nt
Filed under: Octopus fitchi
Lineage: Eukaryota; Metazoa; Mollusca; Cephalopoda; Octopoda; Octopodidae
Description: tRNA-Gly
Source: RNAcentral